Molecule: long non-coding RNA, 623 nt
Organism: Lepisosteus oculatus (spotted gar)
Lineage: Eukaryota; Metazoa; Chordata; Actinopteri; Semionotiformes; Lepisosteidae
Source: RefSeq, a predicted model, not a curated record
CCCUGACGGCUUUAGAAGCCUUUCAGCGCCGCCAUGUCAAAAACUCAGAUUCCCAGAAGGCUUUGCACCACCAAGGCUCUGUACUAUGAGGGCGAAGCGCAGGCAGAACUUCCUUUCUGAGGAGGACGGGGAAGAAAGCACACGUUUCCAGCGUGGUGUGAGACAAUGUGGCCCUGUGAAAUAGGCUGCAAUCGCGGAGCCUGCAUUUUAAAGCGGGUUCUUUUACCAGAAACUUGAAUGUAGCGUGGACAUCAGUGUGGGCUGUGCGUCUGUAAAAUGGACGCGGAAGGAGACCGUUUCGAGACGCAGACGCGCACUGCACCCCUGUCCGUGGCGUGAUGCAGGGCCGAGGUGCAGAGACGGGGGAGAGAGAGAGCGAGCUCUGACCGGCAAGGGCAGCAGACGGAGAGUCCUGAGGCGGAUGCAGUUUGCUCUGGAUGUGGACGUGCAGGAGGUGUGUGCCUUCCAGUCAUCACCGGACCGCUGCUUGGACUGAAGAUCGGCUCAGUCCCCGUGCUCCGGAGGAAUUGCGUGUGAGUUCUGGAAGAUGUGAAACUGGAGGUUUUGUACAGGGAAUUGAGUGUUAAUAAAGAUGUUUGUUGGAAUAAAACGAUUUGUACUUA